RNAcentral lists this transfer RNA (70 nucleotides) under Chitinophaga varians. RNAcentral's name for it is "tRNA-OTHER". It matches the Rfam family "tRNA". Rfam says of the family: Transfer RNA (tRNA) molecules are approximately 80 nucleotides in length. Their secondary structure includes four short double-helical elements and three loops (D, anti-codon, and T loops). Lineage: Bacteria; Pseudomonadati; Bacteroidota; Chitinophagia; Chitinophagales; Chitinophagaceae. RNAcentral also lists the same sequence under 2 other names. The record is from RNAcentral.
CGGACCGUGGCUCAAUGGAAGAGUAUCUGCCAGCAAGCAGAGGGUGGGAGUUCGAUUCUCCCCGGUUUGU